Molecule: long non-coding RNA, 5696 nt
Filed under: Coffea arabica (coffee)
Lineage: Eukaryota; Viridiplantae; Streptophyta; Magnoliopsida; Gentianales; Rubiaceae
Description: long non-coding RNA (CARA_LNC004717)
Source: RNAcentral
CGCCGAUAAUUGCUGGAAAAAUAGCGCGGUCAGGAGAUGCUUUAAGUGUGACAGUACGGAGCACCUGAUUGCACAAUGCUCAAAUAUGCAGACCGAAGGAAGCACUUCUCGGGCAGAAGGGACUACGCCAAAACCAGCAAAUGUAGCAGGGAAUCGACCGAAAGUGCCUGCGCGAGUUUAUGCCAUGGACCAUCAGGAGGUGACUGACCCUUCGGCAGUCAUUGAAGGUACGCUUUCUAUAUUUCGGCGUACCGCAAGUGUGUUAAUAGAUCCUGGUGCUACUCAUUCCUUUGUGAGUCCUGCAUUCAUGGCACAUAUAGAUAUUAAAGCAGAAAAGUUACCAUAUGAUUUAGAAAUAAAGACUCCCAUUACCAACAAGAGCAUCCUUGCCAAUAUGAUGUACAAAGGUUGUGACGUGUGGAUAGGGAAACGAAAGUUAUCCUUGAAUUUAAUAGAAUUAGCACUUAAGGGGUAUGAUCUUAUAUUAGGUAUGGAUUGGUUAGCUAAGUAUCAUGCACGUCUAGACUGUAGUACGAAAAAGGUUGACUUUCACAUACCGGGUGAGCCUACAUUGCAAUUAGAUGUACGAGGGAAGUUAGCCUCCACCACUUUUAUUUCUGGGAUUCGGGCCCGAAAAUUGUUAAGUAAGGGUGCUCGAGGGUUUUUGGCCAUGUUGAUUAAUACUCCCGGAGAGCAAUUAAAAGUAGAAAAUGUGCCGGUGGUGUGUGAGUUUUCCGAGAUGUUUCCCGAAGAGUUGACCUCACUACCGCCGGAAAGAGAAAUCGAAUUUAAAAUCGAUCUGCAACCAGGGGCGGAACCAAUAUCGAAAACCCCUUACCGCAUGGCUCCUACGGAACUGAAGGAAUUAAAAACACAGUUACAAGAAUUGUUGGAUCGAGGAUUUAUUUAGGAAAGUGAAUCUCCUUGGGAGCCCCGGUGCUAUUUGUAAAGAAAAAAGAUGGAGGUUUACGGAUGUGCAUUGAUUACCGGGGACUAAAUAAUCUCACGAUUAAGAACAAAUAUCCCCUGUCAUUGAUUGAUGAAUUGUUUGACCAACUGCAAGGUGCAGUUGUAUUUUCUAAGCUAGAUCUUCGACAAGGAUAUUAUCAAUUGAGGAUCCGGACGGAGGAUAUCCCUAAGACGCGUUUAAUUCGCCGUAUGGGCAUUUUGAAUUUGCAGUCAUGCCCUUUGGAUUGACGAAUGCGCCAGCUGCAUUUAUGGAUUUAAUGCACCGAGUCUUCAAACUUUACCUAGACCAAUUUGUUGUGGUGUUUAUUGACGAUAUUCUGGUCUACUCGAAGACUCGUGAGGAUCAUGAACGGCAUUUGAGGUUAGUGCUACAGACUCUUAAGGAGCACCAAUUGUAUGCUAAAUUUAGUAAGUGCGAGUUCUGGCUGGACAAGGUGUCUUUUCUUGGACACGUGAUUUCAAAGGAUGGAAUAGCGGUGGACCCCGCUAAGGUGAAAGCCGUUACAGAAUGGAAACGGCCUGAGAGCCCAACUGAAGUUAGAAGUUUCUUAGGGCUUGCAGGAUACUAUCGCCGCUUCAUAAAGGACUUUUCUAAGAUAGCUGGACCUCUGACGGACUUGACUAAGAUUCACAAUCAAUUCAUCUGGACUUCAAAGUGCGAUGCCAGUUUUCAAGAGUUAAAAGGGCGAUUAACUUCUGCACCAAUUCUUACUUUGCCCAACGGAAAAGACAGCUUUGUAGUAUAUACGGAUGCGUCACGGUUGGGCUUGGGAUGUGUACUGAUGCAAAAUGGACAAGUGAUAGCCUAUGCAUCCCGAAUAUUGAAACCCCAUGAGCAAAACUACCCGACUCACGACUUGGAAUUGGCGGCAGUAGUAUUUGCUCUUCAGAAGUGGCGACAUUUUUUAUAUGGAAUAACCUUUGAGGUUUUCACCGACCAUAAGAGUCUCAAGUAUUUAUUUUCGCAGAAAGAGCUGAAUUUGAGACAACGGAGAUGGAUGGAAUUCUUGGAGGAUUAUGACUGCACCAUUAAGUGCCAUCCAGGUAAGGCUAAUGUAGUAGCGGAUGCCCUUAGCCGAAAAGCUCAAGUAUCUAGUCUACAGGUGAAAGAGUGGGAGCUACUAGAAAAAGUUGGGGAAUGGAAUCCUCAACUUAAGCCACACAAAGUGUUGUUUAGUAAUAUUCAGGUGAUUUCCACGCUAUUGCCUAGGAUAAAAGAGGCUCAGAAGAAGGACCCCCAGGUGCUAAAGUGGAAGGAAAAAGUCGAGAAAGGAAUGAUACCCGACUUUAAUGUGGGUUCGGAUGGGAUGUUGAGGUAUAGAAACCGGUUGGUUAUACCGCAGGAUGCGGAUAUUAAGAAGGAACUGUUGGAAGAAGGUCACCGCUCGCGGUACACAGUACAUCCUGGUACGACGAAGAUGUAUCAAGAUUUAAAGAGUUUGUACUGGUGGGAUGGCAUGAAAAAGGAAAUCGCUCAGUUUGUGCAAAAGUGUCUAACCUGUCAGCAAAUAAAAGCUGAGCACCAAAAACCAUCAGGAUUACUUCAACCGUUAGAAGUGCCGAAGUGGAAAUGGGAGCACAUUACCAUGGAUUUCGUAUCCGGUUUACCGUGAACACAAAAGGGGCAUAAUGCCAUUUGGGUAAUUGUAGACCGCUUAACCAAAUUAGCUCACUUCCUACCCGUGAACAUGAAGUAUACCCUAGAAAAACUAGCUCAACUGUAUAUGGACGAAAUUAUACGACAACAUGGCGUACCAGUGAGCAUAGUUUCGGAUCAAGAUCCACGAUUCGUGUCACGGUUCUGGCAAAGAAUGCAAGAGGCUUUAGGCUCUAAACUCAAUCUAAGCACAGCCUACCAUCCUCAGACAGAUGGGCAAUCGGAGCGACCAAUACAAACUCUUGAGGAUAUGCUCCGAGCGUGUGUAAUGGACUUUGGGGGAAAUUGGAGCCAACACCUCACAUUGAUAGAAUUCGCAUACAAUAAUAGUUACCACUCCUCCAUACAAAUGGCACCGUAUGAAGCACUAUAUGGACGUAAGUGUCGCUCACCGAUCUUUUGGGAUGAAGUCGGCGAAAGAAAGAUCUUGGAUUCGACUACGGUGCCAUGGAUAGAAGAAGCAGUAAAGAAAGUUAAAAUUAGUCACCAGAGAAUGCAGACGGCUCAGAGUCGGCAGAAGAGUUACGCCGAUCACCGAAGAAAGGAUCUGGAGUUCGAAGAGGGAGACAUGGUAUUUCUCAAGGUAACACCACUCCGAUGAACGAUUGCGGCCAAGAAAGGGAAGAAGUUGAAGCCUCGAUAUAUAGGGCCGUAUAGGAUUCAAAGCCAAGUCGGGACAGUGGCGUAUCAGUUAGAGUUACCUGUUAAAAUGUCCCGAAUCCACAAUGUCUUCCACGUCUCGUUAUUGAAGAAGUAUCAUUCAGAUCCCGCACACAUCCUACACACAGAGGACGUUGAGUUAGACGAAACCCUCACCUAUGGAGAACAGCCGGUACAAAUUUUGGAUCGAAAGGUGAAAGAACUAAGGAAUAAACGGAUAUUUUUGGUAAAGAUUAUAUGAAAAAAUCAUGAUGUGGAGGAAGCCACCUGGGAAGUGGAGGAAGACAUGCAGAAGGAAUAUCCUUCUUUGUUCACAAACAAAGGUAUUAAUUUCGAGGACGAAAUUCCUCUAAGAAGGGGAGGUUAUGAGAUCCCGAUUAGCCUUUGAUUUCAAUAUUAUGUGAUAUUAAGGGCAUUUUGUUCUAUUUUGUACGAAUUUAGUAGAAAAAUCUAGUUUUCUUUUUGUAUUGUGAUAACUCGAGAAAAAAUUACAUGUAUGUUAUGAAUUCUUUUAUUUUAAGUGCUUAGAUAUUAGAAAAUUACAUGUAACAAAUGAAUGGUUAAAAUAAAUGCAUAAUUGAAUUUCUAUAACAGAUUGAAAAUUUAAACACCACUUGAGUUAUGCAAAAUCCUAGCUACAAAUCCACUCUUACUACCCGAGCUUUAGGUCCCAAUUUGAUGCUCAUUCACCUAGCAAAAUAUGCUAGAAAACUUGUGGGGAGCAAAGAUGACACCCGUUUAAGAUUCAAGGACCAAAACAAUGAAUACCGAAAUUGCACUUCGGCCCUUUACAAUAUUUAGCCAAAAAAAAAAAAGAAGAACUGCCUGGAACACUGGGCAGUUCUGACAGGUACUUUGGCACCCACUUUUCGUUUGGUUCUGAGUUGACCCAAGUCUUGGCCAAAACAUAAAAGUUUUACCCUUAUGUCUUAGAUUUCCAAUGCCUUUGGAAUUUCUUGAUUUGGGUCUGUGAGUUGUGAGUUAUGGUUCUUCCACUAGACCCUGUCUGUCAUCUAAACGUGCGAACUCCGGGCACGUUGUUUCAUACUUAUGACCUGAUUCCGUUCAGAACUGGAUUGAGGUGUCUUCAUGAAAGUUAUAUCUUUUCUCCUUAGCUUCGCGACGGUAUCUCAUACGUCUCAAUCCGACAAUCGUAACCUACAUUGUGUUCAAAACAGUUCUUGACGCCAAAACGGACAAGUUGCCGUUUCCGUUUCCGUUAACAUUUCCGUUUCCGUUUUCCAUUUCCGCGCGCGCAUGGGUCGUAUUUGCUGUUUUCCUUAUUCGUAUGCAUUCGGAUACCUGUUUGAGCAAUGUUAUGACUCAACCUUCUGUCACAGACGGUAACGAAGUGCUCGGAGACAAUGGGACCCACUGACGGUUGAGUUUGACCAAGUGCCGUUUUUGUCUACUUUUGUACUCUAAGUAAGUAACUGGGACGUUUAUGUGUUAAAUGUCACCAAUAUGAAUUGUGUGUGAUAUAAGGGUGUUUAGGCAAGCGUGUACUUUAUCUCACUCGACCUAAACCCUAAUUUAUAUUUGCAAUAGAUAUGAAUUAUGAUAUAUGAACUGUGUUGGGACUGAAUCCCUGAAGCAUGUGGCUUGGGAUGACCUUUUGUGUGUGUGUGAUGUGGAACUAUGAGUGGGCCCGAUCUAAAGGCUAGACGGACUAUUCGAGCCAGUUAGGGCUUGGUCGAAAUUAGUCCAAGCUAUCCUUAAGAUCACCAAUUUUGUGAAUACAAUUCGAAUACGAUUCGAAGCUCGAGCCAUUUGUGUGUGUGUGGAUACUGGCCAGAGUGGGCGUAAGGUGGUCGGAGGAAGAAAGUGGAGUUCUACGGACCAUUCCUUGUGGUCGACGGAGGGUCGACAGGUGAUCACGCGUGGCGAAUGACUUGGCUUUGGAGCCAAUCUGUAUCCUUGAAUUGUUUUGUUACUUUUGCUUUUAUUUUGAUGUAUUUGUGGCAUAAAUGUCUGACUUGAUGCAAAAUUACCAUUUUGCCCCUGCUUGCUUACUAAGCUUUAAGCUUACCCGUUUUUCUUUGUUAUUUCCUUAGCAGGGGUCGUACGCGGGGAUCACACUUCACGAGAGUUAUAACCCUAGAAUUUACCUUUGAAAUUAUACUAGUUGGACUUUCUAGGAUGUUUUUCUUUAUUCUCACAGUUAGGGUUAGGACUCUGCGUAAGAUCCACUUUGUGGUUUUAGUCUUCGCUUUUGUGUGAUGUAGUGGACUGGAAUGUCCCUUUUGAAGAUGUACAUAUUGUAAAUGGUACUUUUUGGAGAUGUAUAAAUGCGAAUAGUAUCUUUUGGUAUUUUGUUUCUUUUAUUGGACAAAUUUAUGAUUGGAGAUGUACUUAAGAGUGAAUGUUUAGUUGUCCAAUAGUAAUGUUAUCUCUGAAGGUAAUGUGAGUG